GGUCAAUUGUCUCCCUCCAGAUUUCUCCUUCAGGCUCCUGGUGUUUGAGUAACUGGGAGCCCAAGGGGACAUGGUAGAUUCUUAGACUAACGUUCUCCUUUUUUUCUUAUCAGAGUCAAGACUGCAAACUAACUCAAAUAGGACCAUGCCCAACACAUCUGAUGGAGUUGUUUUUACAAUCGUAAUAAAAGAAAAAAGAGAAGAUGAUGACUAGGUUUUCGGAAAAGCUGGAAUACACACUCGUCUCCUCAGCAGGGAUCUGACACCCGGAAAGGUGUCACACAGACGAGGGGCUAUCCACCUGCUCAAUGAGAAAGCCCCAAAUUCAAAGAAACAAUCUAUCCCACAUCCUCCAUUUCUGAAAUUCCCAGGGAUGUACCCAGUUCACCUCUACCCUGCCUUGGAUUGCUCACAGAUACAGCAGGGAUUGGGCUCACCGCGAGGACUAAAGAAAAUAAUUUCAGCUCCUGGGACCAUGCCAGAUGUGACAUAAGGAAACAUCGGAGAUGCCCCUAGCCAAGGAGCAGGCACACACGAUGCAGUGUUGGCUUACGUGAGAGCCCCAGGAACCCUGCUCAGGAGAUAAGGACGGAGCAGGGAGGCCGACGCAGCCCUGAGCAAUGGCGCCCACUUAUUGUUACAAACUGGGGUUCCCCCAACUUCACAUUCUUUCCCUCAUUCAUAAGAAACGCCACGGAGAAAGAUACCAGCUCACCCACAGCCAGCGCC
Long non-coding RNA from Bubalus bubalis (water buffalo), 729 nucleotides. RefSeq lists it as uncharacterized. The transcript is spliced from 3 exons. Lineage: Eukaryota; Metazoa; Chordata; Mammalia; Artiodactyla; Bovidae. The record is from RefSeq and is a predicted model, not a curated record.